This 484-nucleotide ribosomal RNA is filed under the name uncultured bacterium. Its description in RNAcentral is "partial 16S ribosomal RNA". It matches the Rfam family "Bacterial small subunit ribosomal RNA", at positions 30 to 507 of the family's 1533-position model. The record is from RNAcentral.
AUUGGACGCUGGCGGCAGGCCUAACACAUGCAAGUCGAGCGGAUGAAGGGAGCUUGCUCCUGGAUUCAGCGGCGGACGGGUGAGUAAUGCCUAGGAAUCUGCCUGGUAGUGGGGGAUAACGUCCGGAAACGGGCGCUAAUACCGCAUACGUCCUGAGGGAGAAAGUGGGGGAUCUUCGGACCUCACGCUAUCAGAUGAGCCUAGGUCGGAUUAGCUAGUUGGUGGGGUAAAGGCCUACCAAGGCGACGAUCCGUAACUGGUCUGAGAGGAUGAUCAGUCACACUGGAACUGAGACACGGUCCAGACUCCUACGGGAGGCAGCAGUGGGGAAUAUUGGACAAUGGGCGAAAGCCUGAUCCAGCCAUGCCGCGUGUGUGAAGAAGGUCUUCGGAUUGUAAAGCACUUUAAGUUGGGAGGAAGGGCAGUAAGUUAAUACCUUGCUGUUUUGGUGUUACCAACAGAAUAAGCACCGGCUAACUUCGUG